RNAcentral lists this ribosomal RNA (406 nucleotides) under uncultured bacterium. Its description in RNAcentral is "partial 16S ribosomal RNA". It matches the Rfam family "Bacterial small subunit ribosomal RNA", at positions 30 to 526 of the family's 1533-position model. The record is from RNAcentral.
AUUGAACGCUGGCGGCAGGCCUAACACAUGCAAGUCGAACGAGUGGCGGACGGGUGAGUAAUGUCUGGGAAACUGCCCGAUGGCGGGGGAUAACUACUGGAAACGGUAGCUAAUACCGCAUACCAUCGGAUGUGCCCAGAUGGGAUUAGCUAGUAGGUGGGGUAACGGCUCACCAAGGCGACGAUCCCUAGCUGGUCUGAGAGGAUGACCAGCCACACUGGAACUGAGACACGGCCCAGACUCCUACGGGAGGCAGCAGUGGGGAAUUUUGGACAAUGGGCGAAACCCUGAUGCAGCCAGCCCGCGUGUAUGAAGAAGGCCUUCGGGUUGUAAAGUACUUUCGGCGAGGAGGCGUUAUCCGCAGAAGAAGCACCGGCUAACUCCGUGCCAGCAGCCGCGGUAAUUC